RNAcentral lists this ribosomal RNA (463 nucleotides) under uncultured bacterium. RNAcentral describes it as "bacterial SSU rRNA". It matches the Rfam family "Bacterial small subunit ribosomal RNA", at positions 1 to 507 of the family's 1533-position model. The record is from RNAcentral.
CGUACGAUACGAGUUUGACAUGGCUCAGAACGAACGCUGGCGGCAGGCCUAACACAUGCAAGUCGAGCGAACCCUUCGGGGUUAGCGGCGGACGGGUGAGUAACGCGUGGGAACGUGCCCUUUGCUACGGAAUAGCCCCGGGAAACUGGGAGUAAUACCGUAUGUGCCCCUUCGGGGGGAAAGAUUUAUCGGCAAAGGAUCGGCCCGCGUUGGAUUAGGUAGUUGGUGGGGUAAUGGCCUACCAAGCCGACGAUCCAUAGCUGGUUUGAGAGGAUGAUCAGCCACACUGGGACUGAGACACGGCCCAGACUCCUACGGGAGGCAGCAGUGGGGAAUCUUAGACAAUGGGCGCAAGCCUGAUCUAGCCAUGCCGCGUGAUCGAUGAAGGCCUUAGGGUUGUAAAGAUCUUUCAGUGGGGAAGAUAAUGACUGUACCCACAGAAGAAGCCCCGGCUAACUCCGUG